Molecule: ribosomal RNA, 301 nt
Filed under: uncultured bacterium
Lineage: Bacteria
Description: partial 16S ribosomal RNA
Rfam family: Bacterial small subunit ribosomal RNA
Source: RNAcentral
CAGUAGCCGCGGUAAUACGUAGGGUGCAAGCGUUAAUCGGAAUUACUGGGCGUAAAGCGUGCGCAGGCGGUUCUAUAAGACAGAUGUGAAAUCCCCGGGCUCAACCUGGGAACUGCAUUUGUGACUGUAGAGCUGGAGUGCGGCAGAGGGGGAUGGAAUUCCGCGUGUAGCAGUGAAAUGCGUAGAUAUGCGGAGGAACACCGAUGGCGAAGGCAAUCCCCUGGGCCUGCACUGAAGCUCAUGCACGAAAGCGUGGGGAGCAAACAGGAUUAGAUACCCCCGUAGUCCCUGUCUCUUAUAC